CGUAGUCCGGAUUGGAGUCUGCAACUCGACUCCAUGAAGUCGGAAUCGCUAGUAAUCGUGAAUCAGAAUGUCACGGUGAAUACGUUCCCGGGCCUUGUACACACCGCCCGUCACACCAUGGGAGUGGGCUGCAAAAGAAGUGGGUAGUUUAACCUUUCGAGGAGGACGCUCACCACUUUGUGGUUCAUGACUGGGGUGAAGUCGUAACAAGGUAGCCCUAGGGGAACCUGGGGCUGGAUCACCUCCUUAUACGAAGAUACC
RNAcentral lists this ribosomal RNA (261 nucleotides) under Vibrio tasmaniensis. RNAcentral's name for it is "partial 16S ribosomal RNA". It matches the Rfam family "Bacterial small subunit ribosomal RNA", at positions 1287 to 1533 of the family's 1533-position model. The record is from RNAcentral. Lineage: Bacteria; Pseudomonadati; Pseudomonadota; Gammaproteobacteria; Vibrionales; Vibrionaceae.